UGACCUCGAAUCAGGUAGGAAUACCCGCUGAACUUAAGCAUAUCAAUAAGC
This 51-nucleotide ribosomal RNA is filed under the name Fusarium solani. Its description in RNAcentral is "partial 28Sribosomal RNA". Lineage: Eukaryota; Fungi; Ascomycota; Sordariomycetes; Hypocreales; Nectriaceae. The record is from RNAcentral.